GCCCGGGUGGUGAAAUUGGUAGACACAAGGGAUUUAAAAUCCCUCGCUGGCAACAGCGUGCCGGUUCAAGUCCGGCCCCGGGCACCA
RNAcentral lists this transfer RNA (87 nucleotides) under Pseudidiomarina insulisalsae. RNAcentral's name for it is "Idiomarina insulisalsae tRNA-Leu". It matches the Rfam family "tRNA". From Rfam's summary of the family: Transfer RNA (tRNA) molecules are approximately 80 nucleotides in length. Their secondary structure includes four short double-helical elements and three loops (D, anti-codon, and T loops). RNAcentral also lists the same sequence under 3 other names. The record is from RNAcentral. Lineage: Bacteria; Pseudomonadati; Pseudomonadota; Gammaproteobacteria; Alteromonadales; Idiomarinaceae.